AAAUAGAACUUUGCAGAGAGAGUUAAGAGGGCGUGAACCGUUAAUGGCAAACGAAUCGGAGCCACGAAGUCGUUUCGCUGAUAGUUGGCUCAAGUUCAGCUUAGGUACGCAUGUGCCUAGGUGCAUUCUUGUGGCUAACCCUCGAUGUAAGCGUACACUGCAACCAGUUAGACGAUUGGCGGUGGAAACAGUGGCCUUGUGCUUGCGCAAGCUAGUGCUCGGUUACGAUUCAUUUGUUUGUCGCGGGAUGUAGUAGUUCGGCUCCAUGAAUUUGGAUGUCCUUAUUGCUGGCUCGUGUGCAAGAGAACUACCACCAAAUACUGACUGGCAAAAUGAAAAUCGCCUAGCGGCGUUUUGAAAAAGAGCGGUCUUCAGCGCGUACUGUUACACGUUUGACGUGUAUGUUAAAGUUCGGUAUUUUUGAAUUUGGACUUGCUUGCUACCAAUGGGGUAACUCUUGGUGCUUGUAUAGCUUUCAUCUAAUCGAGUAUCGACUUUGCAUGCGCUAGUUUAAACGUGAAUCGUUAGAUGGUGCGCGUUAGUUGACUUGCAACUAUUGGCAGUGAGUAGGUCGGCUUUCCGAACGACCCGUCUUGAAACACGGACCAAGGAGUCUAAUUAGGCAUCAGUCGAUCGGUCUUGAAUAGGCCAGACUGGGAAUACUUGUAUUCUCGAUUGAAGGCGUAGAGAAAUCAAAUUUCAUGUGAUCUUGUGGCAAAUUCCAUGCUGCAAGCGCAACAUGUGCCUGCUCGUAUGCCAUUGCAGCAAUGCAUGGCGGGCGGAGUAAAGAGAUGUUUGACUGGUACCCGAAAGAUGGUGAACUAUGCUUGGGCAAAUUGAAGCCAGAGGAAACUCUGGUGGAGGAUUGUAGCGAUUCUGACGUGCAAAUCGAUCGUCAGACCUGAGUAUAGGGGCGAAAGACUAAUCGAACCAUC
Molecule: ribosomal RNA, 935 nt
Filed under: Surapoda sp. 28sd2-5r10
Lineage: Eukaryota; Metazoa; Arthropoda; Arachnida; Trombidiformes; Eriophyidae
Description: partial 28S ribosomal RNA
Rfam family: Eukaryotic large subunit ribosomal RNA
Source: RNAcentral